GUGCCAGUAGCUCAGGGGAUAGAGCAACGGCCUUCUAAGCCGUGUGUCGGAGGUUCGAUUCCUCUCUGGCGCACCA
Molecule: transfer RNA, 76 nt
Filed under: Eubacteriaceae bacterium
Lineage: Bacteria; Bacillati; Bacillota; Clostridia; Eubacteriales; Eubacteriaceae
Also listed under: 1 other name
Description: tRNA-Arg
Rfam family: tRNA
About the family: Transfer RNA (tRNA) molecules are approximately 80 nucleotides in length. Their secondary structure includes four short double-helical elements and three loops (D, anti-codon, and T loops). Further hydrogen bonds mediate the characteristic L-shaped molecular structure. tRNAs have two regions of fundamental functional importance: the anti-codon, which is responsible for specific mRNA codon recognition, and the 3' end, to which the tRNAs corresponding amino acid is attached (by aminoacyl-tRNA synthetases). tRNAs cope with the degeneracy of the genetic code in two manners: having more than one tRNA (with a specific anti-codon) for a particular amino acid; and 'wobble' base-pairing, i.e. permitting non-standard base-pairing at the 3rd anti-codon position.
Source: RNAcentral